This 1734-nucleotide long non-coding RNA is filed under the name Homo sapiens (human). RNAcentral describes it as "HSALNT0270272". The record is from RNAcentral. Lineage: Eukaryota; Metazoa; Chordata; Mammalia; Primates; Hominidae.
GGGUGCCUGGGUCGGGGGCUGCAGGUGGGAGUGAGCAAAUGUGCUGUCUCGCCACCUCGGGACAGGUGGUAGGGCCUCUGACACAGAGUGGUCCUUCCUGCUGUUCACAGCUCAGCUCACCGUGGGCUGACCAUAGAUUCUCGUUGAAAUCCUAACGCCCCAGGCAAUGAUGUUAGGAGGCGGGGCUUCUGGGAGAUGGCAAGUUCGUGAGGCUGCAGCUCUGCUGGGGGAUCAGUGUCCUUCUACAAGCGGCUCCAGGGAGGUCCCUUGCCCCUUCCACCAUGUGAGGACCCGAGAUGGUGCCGUCUAUGAACCGGGAAGUGAGUCCUCUCCGGACGUGGAACAAGUUGGUGCCUUGAUUUUGAACUUGCAGCCUCCAGGUAUGAAUGUGAGCUCUGGGCUCACUGCCUGUGGGGAGCCCUGCCUCACAAGGAGGGGUCCCUCUGCAUCUGCCAUGCAUGGCUGUUUCAAUCAAAGCUGCUGUCUAACACCACCGGCUCGACCUUGAGUUCCUCCCUGAGCAAAGCCAAGCGACCUCCUGGACUGAGCCAGUUUUCGUGCCUGCCUGCCCUGGCUCAUUGGCCAGGGACCCCACCCCGCCAUGUCCAGGCCUUGGUGAUACAGGACAGAGGUGCCCGUGCAGGUUGUGCCUGUGGCUGGGUCCCCAGGGAGAAGGUGGCAACCCCAGGCCAGCAGCCUCCUACCCUGAACUCCAGGCAACAUCGUCGGCCCCCUGGCACUGCACCUGCACUGUGGGCAGAGAAGGAGGGAAGGCUGGGAGAGGAGGAGGAGGUCGAAUGUCGCUGGAGGUCGGCGUCCUUCUGCAGCCGUGGCUUCAUGGGGUUUAAGUACGAUGAUGCUGCAUUGAGACGUUGUACUGUGUGAAGUCAGGGCCUUCUGUGCAUCGGUCGAGGGUGCAAUGCACACGGCACCCCCGAGCAGCCACCCAUCCUCCCUUCCCUCCACCCUGCGAGGCCCCGUUGUCCGUCUGUCCACACUCUGCUCCAUGAGCACACGUGACUUAGCUUCGCCUUGUGAGCCGCUGCUUGGGGUGAGCAUGCUUCCUGCUGGAUGCUUCUCUAUGUAAGCACCUGCCUGAGUGUCAGCCCUCUUAAGGUGAACCGCUCCGUGUCAUUCGUACAUUCACAAGUUUGUGCCGCCAUCAUCGUGAUCGGAUUCCAAAACAUUUUCAUCACCUCCAAGAAAGCCUUGUACCUGGCAGCAGUCACUGUCUCUAUGGAUUUGCUUAUUCUGGACAUUUCAUAAAAAUAGAAUCAAACAGCAUUUGGCUCUUCGUGUCUGGCCUGUUUCUCUGAGCACGAUAUUUCGAAGAUUCAGCUGGGUCUCGCUCCUGUUCCUGGCUGAAGCUGAAUAAUAUUCCAGUGCACGGCUGGACCACAGUCAUCAACUGACGGACACUUGGUGGUCUCACAUUUCCACUGGUGUGAAUAGUCCUGCUGUGAACAUGCGUGUGCGAGAUUUUGGUUGAACACUUGUCCUCAGUCCUCUUGGGGCAGUGCCAGCCUUGGCAGACGGGCCGGACAGAGGAGGGAUGAUGGCUCAGGCUGGCAGGGGCUGCCACGGGGCAGCGAUGGCCACCUCGAGCCUGGCCAGUGCUUCUGGACUUCCUCUCUGCUGACUUUGUUCCCUGGCUAGAAACAGUUGUGGCAGCGCUCCCAGACCGGGCGUCUGCACGGAGUGGCCUCAGCUUCCUUGAGCUGUGGGAAUUUAACG